Molecule: ribosomal RNA, 2922 nt
Filed under: Klebsiella pneumoniae
Lineage: Bacteria; Pseudomonadati; Pseudomonadota; Gammaproteobacteria; Enterobacterales; Enterobacteriaceae
Description: 23S ribosomal RNA
Rfam family: Bacterial large subunit ribosomal RNA
Source: RNAcentral
GGGUUGUGAGGUUAAGCGACUAAGCGUACACGGUGGAUGCCCUGGCAGUCAGAGGCGAUGAAGGACGUGCUAAUCUGCGAAAAGCGUCGGUAAGGUGAUAUGAACCGUUACAGCCGGCGAUGUCCGAAUGGGGAAACCCAGUGUGAUUCGUCACACUAUCGUUAACUGAAUACAUAGGUUAACGAGGCGAACCGGGGGAACUGAAACAUCUAAGUACCCCGAGGAAAAGAAAUCAACCGAGAUUCCCCCAGUAGCGGCGAGCGAACGGGGAGCAGCCCAGAGUCUGAAUCAGCUUGUGUGUUAGUGGAACGGUCUGGAAAGUCCGACGGUACAGGGUGAUAGUCCCGUACACCAAAAUGCACAGGCUGUGAACUCGAAGAGUAGGGCGGGACACGUGGUAUCCUGUCUGAAUAUGGGGGGACCAUCCUCCAAGGCUAAAUACUCCUGACUGACCGAUAGUGAACCAGUACCGUGAGGGAAAGGCGAAAAGAACCCCGGCGAGGGGAGUGAAAAAGAACCUGAAACCGUGUACGUACAAGCAGUGGGAGCACCUUCGGGUGUGACUGCGUACCUUUUGUAUAAUGGGUCAGCGACUUAUAUUCUGUAGCAAGGUUAACCGUAUAGGGGAGCCGCAGGGAAACCGAGUCUUAACUGGGCGUUAAGUUGCAGGGUAUAGACCCGAAACCCGGUGAUCUAGCCAUGGGCAGGUUGAAGGUUGGGUAACACUAACUGGAGGACCGAACCGACUAAUGUUGAAAAAUUAGCGGAUGACUUGUGGCUGGGGGUGAAAGGCCAAUCAAACCGGGAGAUAGCUGGUUCUCCCCGAAAGCUAUUUAGGUAGCGCCUCGUGAAUUCAUCUUCGGGGGUAGAGCACUGUUUCGGCUAGGGGGUCAUCCCGACUUACCAACCCGAUGCAAACUACGAAUACCGAAGAAUGUUAUCACGGGAGACACACGGCGGGUGCUAACGUCCGUCGUGAAGAGGGAAACAACCCAGACCGCCAGCUAAGGUCCCAAAGUCAUGGUUAAGUGGGAAACGAUGUGGGAAGGCACAGACAGCCAGGAUGUUGGCUUAGAAGCAGCCAUCAUUUAAAGAAAGCGUAAUAGCUCACUGGUCGAGUCGGCCUGCGCGGAAGAUGUAACGGGGCUAAACCAUGCACCGAAGCUGCGGCAGCGACACUAUGUGUUGUUGGGUAGGGGAGCGUUCUGUAAGCCUGCGAAGGUGUGCUGUGAGGCAUGCUGGAGGUAUCAGAAGUGCGAAUGCUGACAUAAGUAACGAUAAAGCGGGUGAAAAGCCCGCUCGCCGGAAGACCAAGGGUUCCUGUCCAACGUUAAUCGGGGCAGGGUGAGUCGACCCCUAAGGCGAGGCCGAAAGGCGUAGUCGAUGGGAAACAGGUUAAUAUUCCUGUACUUGGUGUUACUGCGAAGGGGGGACGGAGAAGGCUAUGUUAGCCGGGCGACGGUUGUCCCGGUUUAAGCAUGUAGGCUGAUUAUCCAGGCAAAUCCGGAUAAUCAAGGCUGAGGUGUGAUGACGAGGCACUACGGUGCUGAAGUAACAAAUGCCCUGCUUCCAGGAAAAGCCUCUAAGCAUCAGGUAACAUCAAAUCGUACCCCAAACCGACACAGGUGGUCAGGUAGAGAAUACCAAGGCGCUUGAGAGAACUCGGGUGAAGGAACUAGGCAAAAUGGUGCCGUAACUUCGGGAGAAGGCACGCUGGUGUGUAGGUGAAGUCCCUGCGGAUGGAGCUGAGACCAGUCGAAGAUACCAGCUGGCUGCAACUGUUUAUUAAAAACACAGCACUGUGCAAACACGAAAGUGGACGUAUACGGUGUGACGCCUGCCCGGUGCCGGAAGGUUAAUUGAUGGGGUUAUCCGUAAGGAGAAGCUCUUGAUCGAAGCCCCGGUAAACGGCGGCCGUAACUAUAACGGUCCUAAGGUAGCGAAAUUCCUUGUCGGGUAAGUUCCGACCUGCACGAAUGGCGUAAUGAUGGCGGGCUGUCUCCACCCGAGACUCAGUGAAAUUGAACUCGCUGUGAAGAUGCAGUGUACCCGCGGCAAGACGGAAAGACCCCGUGAACCUUUACUAUAGCUUGACACUGAACAUUGAGCCUUGAUGUGUAGGAUAGGUGGGAGGCUUUGAAGCGUGGACGCCAGUCUGCGUGGAGCCAACCUUGAAAUACCACCCUUUAAUGUUUGAUGUUCUAACGUUGGCCCCUUACCGGGGUUGCGGACAGUGUCUGGUGGGUAGUUUGACUGGGGCGGUCUCCUCCCAAAGCGUAACGGAGGAGCACGAAGGUUAGCUAAUCCUGGUCGGACAUCAGGAGGUUAGUGCAAUGGCAUAAGCUAGCUUGACUGCGAGCGUGACGGCGCGAGCAGGUGCGAAAGCAGGUCAUAGUGAUCCGGUGGUUCUGAAUGGAAGGGCCAUCGCUCAACGGAUAAAAGGUACUCCGGGGAUAACAGGCUGAUACCGCCCAAGAGUUCAUAUCGACGGCGGUGUUUGGCACCUCGAUGUCGGCUCAUCACAUCCUGGGGCUGAAGUAGGUCCCAAGGGUAUGGCUGUUCGCCAUUUAAAGUGGUACGCGAGCUGGGUUUAGAACGUCGUGAGACAGUUCGGUCCCUAUCUGCCGUGGGCGCUGGAGAAUUGAGGGGGGCUGCUCCUAGUACGAGAGGACCGGAGUGGACGCAUCACUGGUGUUCGGGUUGUCAUGCCAAUGGCACUGCCCGGUAGCUAAAUGCGGAAGAGAUAAGUGCUGAAAGCAUCUAAGCACGAAACUUGCCCCGAGAUGAGUUCUCCCUGAGACUUUAAGUCUCCUGAAGGAACGUUAAAGACGAUGACGUUGAUAGGCCGGGUGUGUAAGCGCAGCGAUGCGUUGAGCUAACCGGUACUAAUGAACCGUGAGGCUUAACCUUACAACGCCGAAG